AACUGAUACUACCUGCGGGAACCUGCGGAGGGAUCAUUACUGAGUGUAGUGUUACUAUGUAGCCGCCUCCCACCCUUGAUUAUUUAUCCUGUUGCUUCGGCGAGACGUCUUUUUGCAAAAAAAAGCCGUCGACAAAAGAGAAAUACGAGUUCAUAACCAGCUAUUAAUUUAGUUCGGUUUAGAACAGUGUUUUUGUGGGCGUGAGCUCGCCGAAGGUUUUCAAAACUCUGAUAAUUUUGA
This 240-nucleotide unclassified non-coding RNA is filed under the name soil metagenome. RNAcentral's name for it is "partial contains 5.8S ribosomal RNA, internal transcribed spacer 2, and large subunit ribosomal RNA". The record is from RNAcentral.